RNAcentral lists this ribosomal RNA (1015 nucleotides) under Pieris rapae (cabbage white). RNAcentral describes it as "SSU rRNA". It matches the Rfam family "Eukaryotic small subunit ribosomal RNA", at positions 44 to 995 of the family's 1831-position model. Lineage: Eukaryota; Metazoa; Arthropoda; Insecta; Lepidoptera; Pieridae. The record is from RNAcentral.
AUUAGCCAUGCAUGUCUCAGUGCAAGCCGUAUUAAGGCGAUACCGCGAAUGGCUCAAUAUAUCAGUUUUGGUUCCUUAGAUCUUACUCAGUUACUUGGAUAACUGUGGUAAUUCUAGAGCUAAUACAUGCAAUCAGAACUCUGACCAGUGAUGGGAUGAGUGCUUUUAUUAGAUCAAAACCAAUCGGCGGAGGGCCUAGCGUCCGAAGUCGUUAAUUUUGAUGAAUCUGGAUAACUUUUGCCGAUCGCAUGGUCCAGUACCGGCGACGCAUCUUUCAAAUGUCUGCCUUAUCAACUUUCGAUGGUAGUUUCUGCGACUACCAUGGUUGUCACGGGUAACGGGGAAUCAGGGUUCGAUUCCGGAGAGGGAGCCUGAGAAACGGCUACCACAUCCAAGGAAGGCAGCAGGCGCGCAAAUUACCCACUCCCGGCACGGGGAGGUAGUGACGAAAAAUAACGAUACGGGACUCUUACGAGGCCUCGUAAUCGGAAUGAGUACACUUUAAAUAUUUUAACGAGGAACAAUUGGAGGGCAAGUCUGGUGCCAGCAGCCGCGGUAAUUCCAGCUCCAAUAGCGUAUACUAAAAUUGUUGCGGUUAAAAAGCUCGUAGUUGCAUUUGUGCGCCGCGCUGUCGGUGCACCGCAUCCGCGGUGAUACUGACACGUCUGCGGAGCAUAUCGUCGGUGAGCCGGCGGUAAAACGCCGGUUCAAUAUCAAAAUCCUAUCGCGGUGCUCUUCGGUGAGUGUCGAGGUGGGCCGACAAUUUUACUUUGAACAAAUUAGAGUGCUCAAAGCGGGCUCAAAAUGCCGCUUGAAUAUUUCGUGCAUGGAAUAAUAGAAUAUGAUCUCGGUUCUAUUUUGUUGGUUUUCAGAACUCCGAGGUAAUGAUUAAUAGGGAUAACUGGGGGCAUUCGUAUUGCGACGUUAGAGGUGAAAUUCUUGGAUCGUCGCAAGACGAACAUCAGCGAAAGCAUUUGCCAAAGGUGUUUUCAUCAAUCAAGAACGAAAGUUAGAG